AUUCGACCUGAGCUCAGGUAAGAGCACGC
This 29-nucleotide ribosomal RNA is filed under the name Botryococcus terribilis. RNAcentral's name for it is "partial 28S ribosomal RNA". The record is from RNAcentral. Lineage: Eukaryota; Viridiplantae; Chlorophyta; Trebouxiophyceae.